This 468-nucleotide ribosomal RNA is filed under the name uncultured bacterium. RNAcentral's name for it is "partial 16S ribosomal RNA". It matches the Rfam family "Bacterial small subunit ribosomal RNA", at positions 28 to 507 of the family's 1533-position model. The record is from RNAcentral.
GACGAACGCUGGCGGCGUGCUUAACACAUGCAAGUCGAACGGAAAGGCCGUGCUUUUGUGGGGUGCUCGGGUUGCGAACGGGUGAGUAACCCGUGAGUACCCUGCCCUUGACCUUGGGAUAACUUCAUGACACUGGGGCUCAUCCCGGCUAAGAGCUCCUGCUGCAUGGUGGGGGUUGGUAAGUUUCGGCGGUUGGGGAUGGACUGGCGGCGUAUCAGCUUGGUGGGUGGGUAGUGGCUGACCAAGGUUUUGAACGGUAGCAGGCCUGCGAGGGGCACCGGCCAAACUGGGCUUGAGAUGCGGCACAGACUAGAACGGUAGGCAGCAGAGGAGAAGAGUGCACAAUGGGCGGAAGCCUGAUGCAGCAACGCCGCGUGGGGGAUGACGGGCUGCGGGUUGGAAACCGAUGUCGCCUGUGACGAAGCGUGAGUGACGGUAAUGGGUAAAGAAGCACCGGCUAACUACGUG